CAUGUCCUGCACGACAUUGUAGGAUUUAGGGAUUUAGUUCUCACAACAAUUUGACCAGGUACCUAUUAUCCUUCCCAUUUUACAGUUUAGGGAACUAAAGCCCAGAGACGUUGAGGAACUUGCCCAAGGCUGAACAGCUACUCACAAGUGGGGGUGAGAUUUAAGCACCUUGCUGCUGUCGGUGAGGAUGCUCCGUGGUGAGCUCUGGCGAAUAUGUCCACCUCCUCUCGCAUGUACCUAUAUGCUUCUUUGAAGUUCAUCUGUUACGACAGUGCUGAGCCGUGGCAGCCACCUCCAGAGUGUGGUUCCAGCCGUGAAGACGUAGGUCUGCAGAGCGAAGCACUGCCGGCUGUACGUGUGAACGUCCUUUGCUGCUCGGGCAUGCUGAUUCCAUGGAAGAGGCAGGUUCUGCUUAGGUCCAGGGAGCAUUGUGAGGGACAGCUGAUGACAGGUAUGAUCAGACUUCCACGUUCACCUGCAGUCUGGAGGGGACACGAGGGAAACGCAGAGCCAUUAGGAAGAAACAUGGUGGCUGCCACACCUCCUGGGUAAGCUCUUCCCUCCUCUCUGGCAGCUCACAGAUUUGAUGUUUAAUUAUUUUUCACAUGGGGAUUGCUGGAUCUCUGUACAUGCGCAGUGUACCAGAUGUUUGUUGGUGUCCUGCAGGGCCUGGCACUGGGCUGAGG
RNAcentral lists this long non-coding RNA (686 nucleotides) under Vulpes vulpes (red fox). RNAcentral describes it as "lncRNA (ENSVVUG00000008422.1)". The record is from RNAcentral. Lineage: Eukaryota; Metazoa; Chordata; Mammalia; Carnivora; Canidae.